UGAGGAAUAUUGGUCAAUGGGCGAGAGCCUGAACCAGCCAAGUAGCGUGCAGGACGACGGCCCUAUGGGUUGUAAACUGCUUUUAUGUGGGGAUAAAGUGCGUGACGUGUCAUGCAUUGCAGGUACCACAUGAAUAAGGACCGGCUAAUUCCGUGCCAGCAGCCGCGGUAAUACGGAAGGUCCGGGCGUUAUCCGGAUUUAUUGGGUUUAAAGGGAGCGUAGGCUGUCUAUUAAGCGUGUUGUGAAAUUUACCGGCUCAACCGGUGGCUUGCAGCGCGAACUGGUCGACUUGAGUAUGCAGGAAGUAGGCGGAAUUCAUGGUGUAGCGGUGAAAUGCUUAGAUAUCAUGAAGAACUCCGAUUGCGAAGGCAGCUUACGGGAGCGCAACUGACGCUGAAGCUCGAAGGUGCGGGUAUCGAACAGG
Molecule: ribosomal RNA, 424 nt
Filed under: Verrucomicrobiota bacterium
Lineage: Bacteria; Pseudomonadati; Verrucomicrobiota
Description: Verrucomicrobia bacterium partial 16S ribosomal RNA
Rfam family: Bacterial small subunit ribosomal RNA
Source: RNAcentral